GUACACCAGGGAACUGUGUACAACAUCUGUCACCACUGAGGUCGCCAGGGUUGGUCUGGCUCAUCUGCCUGGCUAGGCAGGUGUCCCCUUCCUCCCUUGCCACUCCAUGUGCGUCCCUCCCCAAGCUGUGCACUUAAGAUUGAGGACGGGGCCUCCCGAACAGAGGGCUGCUCUUUGUUCAGGGUGUAUGAGUAGCUGCUCUCUCCUCCUAGAACUCCAAACGAGCUACCAAGAGGCCUGAGAGGAGGCUGCCGGGGCACGGGCAGGGAAA
This 271-nucleotide small nuclear RNA is filed under the name Jaculus jaculus (lesser Egyptian jerboa). Its description in RNAcentral is "7SK RNA (ENSJJAG00000008094.1)". It matches the Rfam family "7SK RNA". Rfam says of the family: 7SK was discovered as an abundant small nuclear RNA in the mid-70s but a possible function has only recently been suggested. Two independent studies have found that 7SK RNA binds the CDK9/cyclin T complex (known as elongation factor P-TEFb). The record is from RNAcentral. Lineage: Eukaryota; Metazoa; Chordata; Mammalia; Rodentia; Dipodidae.